GUGGGGAAUUUUGCGCAAUGGGCGAAAGCCUGACGCAGCGACGCCGCGUGGAGGAUGAAGGCCUUCGGGUUGUAAACUCCUUUUAUAGGGGAAGAAUAAUGACGGUACCCUAUGAAUAAGCCACGGCUAACUCUGUGCCAGCAGCCGCGGUAAGACAGAGGUGGCAAGCGUUGUUCGGAAUUACUGGGCUUAAAGGGCGCGUAGGCGGUGGGAUAAGUCCGUGGUGGAAUCCCGGGGCUCAACCCCGGAACGGCCGCGGAUACUGUUUCACUUGAGUCAGUGAGGGGAGGGCGGAAUUCCCGGUGUAGCAGUGAAAUGCGUAGAUAUCGGGAGGAAGGCCGGUGGCGAAGGCGGCCCUCUGGCGCUUGACUGACGCUGAGGCGCGAAAGCGUGGGUAGCAAACAGGAUUAGAAACCCUUGUAGUCC
RNAcentral lists this ribosomal RNA (426 nucleotides) under uncultured bacterium. RNAcentral describes it as "bacterial SSU rRNA". It matches the Rfam family "Bacterial small subunit ribosomal RNA", at positions 354 to 796 of the family's 1533-position model. The record is from RNAcentral.